CCUACGGGAGGCAGCAGUGAGGAAUAUUGGUCAAUGGACGAGAGUCUGAACCAGCCAAGUAGCGUGAAGGAUGACUGCCCUAUGGGUUGUAAACUUCUUUUAUAAAGGAAUAAAACGAGGCACGUGUGCCUUUUUGCAUGUACUUUAUGAAUAAGGCUCGGCUAACUCCGUGCCAGCAGCCGCGGUAAUACGGAGGAUCCGCGCGUUAUCCGGAUUUAUUGGGUGGAAAGGGAGCGUAGAUGGGUUGUUAAGUCAGUUGUGAAAGUUUGCGGCUCAACCGUAAAAUUGCAAUUGAUACUGGCAGUCUUGAGUACAGUUGAGGUAGGCGGAAUUCGUGGUGUAGCGGUGAAAUGCGUAGAUAUCACGAAGAACCCCGAUUGCGAAGGCAGCUUACUAAACUGUGACUGACAUUGAGGCGCGAAAGUGUGGGUAGCAAACAGGAUUAGAUACCCGUGUAGUC
This 460-nucleotide ribosomal RNA is filed under the name uncultured bacterium. Its description in RNAcentral is "partial 16S ribosomal RNA". It matches the Rfam family "Bacterial small subunit ribosomal RNA", at positions 338 to 795 of the family's 1533-position model. The record is from RNAcentral.